UCAUGGGGAAUUUUCCGCAAUGGGCGAAAGCCUGACGGAGCAAUACCGCGUGAGGGAGGAAGGCUCUUGGGUCGUAAACCUCUUUUCUCAGGGAAGAACACAAUGACGGUACCUGAGGAAUCAGCAUCGGCUAACUCCGUGCCAGCAGCCGCGGUAAUACGGAGGAUGCAAGCGUUAUCCGGAAUCAUUGGGCGUAAAGCGUCCGCAGGUGGCUUUUCAAGUCUGCUGUCAAAGCCCGGGGCUCAACCCUGGAGAGGCAGUGGAAACUGAGGAGCUGGAGUGCGGUAGGGGCAGA
This 295-nucleotide ribosomal RNA is filed under the name uncultured Oscillatoriales cyanobacterium. Its description in RNAcentral is "partial 16S ribosomal RNA". It matches the Rfam family "Bacterial small subunit ribosomal RNA", at positions 352 to 661 of the family's 1533-position model. The record is from RNAcentral. Lineage: Bacteria; Bacillati; Cyanobacteriota; Cyanophyceae; Oscillatoriales.